CUUCCCACUGUGUAUUGCAUUCUAAAAUGGUGGCCAUGUCUGUCUAGGAUUUCAGCUCGCAGAGACACCAGCCAAACUCACAGCUGCAGACUUUGGUGUUGUUCAACUUGAGGAAACAGUUACCUGUGUUAACGCCGAGCCAGAGCGGGGGCAGGGCCGGGGGGAGGCCGCGGCGGAGCCAGGAGCGGGCGAGGAGAGGUCCCCACAGCCCUCCACCACCACAAUGCCAACAUGGAGGGCAACACCCAGGCAGCUGCCUCCUCCGGGGCUCCGCACCGGGACCGCUCGCCCCCCGCUGCCGCCCGGCGCGGGGCUCCGGCCAACUUGGGUUGAAAACGCCAAGCGCCCCCACGCCCCCCGGCAAGGGCAGAGCUGCCAGCCGGGGCCGCUCAGAGCUGCUGCUGUUCGCAAGCGCAGGACAAACCCGUCACAUCAACUCCGCUUCAGCCAGUUGCUCCCCUGCCGCGGAUGAACACUUCCCACGUGAAAUGUUUAGGCCAAAGAGGAAGUUGUCAGCUAUCUGAACUCCUGCUUGCUCUUAGAAUCAAUAAAAAUGUGUACAAAGCA
Tyto alba (common barn owl) is the source of this 567-nucleotide long non-coding RNA. RefSeq lists it as uncharacterized. The transcript is spliced from 2 exons. The record is from RefSeq and is a predicted model, not a curated record. NCBI's taxonomy places the organism in Eukaryota, Metazoa, Chordata, Aves, Strigiformes, Tytonidae.